This 229-nucleotide ribosomal RNA is filed under the name uncultured bacterium. RNAcentral describes it as "partial 16S ribosomal RNA". It matches the Rfam family "Bacterial small subunit ribosomal RNA", at positions 568 to 796 of the family's 1533-position model. The record is from RNAcentral.
UGCGCAGGCGGGCUUGUAAGUCAGUGGUGAAAUACUGCCGCUUAACGGUAGAACUGCCAUUGAUACUACAAGUCUUGAAUAUGGUUGAGGUAGGCGGAAUGUGUCGUGUAGCGGUGAAAUGCAUAGAUAUGACACAGAACGCCAAUUGCGAAGGCAGCUUACUAAGCCAUUAUUGACGCUGAGGCACGAAAGCGUGGGGAGCGAACAGGAUUAGAUACCCUGGUAGUCC